CAGAGUUCAUGCCCUCACGGGUAGAUCUCCCACCCUUGAAUACUAUACCUUUGUUGCUUUGGCGGGCCGCUUUGGCUACUGGCUCCGGCUGGUGAGCGCCCGCCAAAGAAUCCCAAAACUCUGAAUAUUUGUGUCGUCUGAGUACUAUAUAAUAGUUA
RNAcentral lists this unclassified non-coding RNA (158 nucleotides) under uncultured Leotiomycetes. RNAcentral's name for it is "sequence contains ITS1". The record is from RNAcentral. Lineage: Eukaryota; Fungi; Ascomycota; Leotiomycetes.